This 745-nucleotide ribosomal RNA is filed under the name unidentified microorganism. RNAcentral's name for it is "bacterial SSU rRNA". It matches the Rfam family "Bacterial small subunit ribosomal RNA", at positions 50 to 803 of the family's 1533-position model. The record is from RNAcentral.
UACACAUGCAAGUCGAGCGGAAGGCCCUUCGGGGUACUCGAGCGGCGAACGGGUGAGUAACACGUGAGUAAUCUGCCCUUGGCUUUGGGAUAACUACCGGAAACGGUGGCUAAUACCGGAUACGACACAGGUGUGCAUGCGCUCUGUGUGGAAAGUUUUUUCGGCCAGGGAUGUGCUCGCGGCCUAUCAGCUUGUUGGUGGGGUAAUGGCCUACCAAGGCUUCGACGGGUAGCCGGCCUGAGAGGGUGACCGGCCACACUGGGACUGAGACACGGCCCAGACUCCUACGGGAGGCAGCAGUGGGGAAUAUUGGACAAUGGGCGGAAGCCUGAUCCAGCAACGCCGCGUGAGGGAUGACGGCCUUCGGGUUGUAAACCUCUUUCAGUACCGACGAAGCGCCGAUGAUGGUGGUGACGGUAGGUACAGAAGAAGCACCGGCCAACUACGUGCCAGCAGCCGCGGUAAUACGUAGGGUGCGAGCGUUGUCCGGAAUUAUUGGGCGUAAAGGGCUCGUAGGCGGUUUGUCGCGUCGGGAGUGAAAACCCAGGGCUUAACUCUGGGCUUGCUUUCGAUACGGGCAGACUAGAGGUAUGCAGGGGAGAACGGAAUUCCUGGUGUAGCGGUGAAAUGCGCAGAUAUCAGGAGGAACACCGGUGGCGAAGGCGGUUCUCUGGGCAUUACCUGACGCUGAGGAGCGAAAGUGUGGGGAGCGAACAGGAUUAGAUACCCUGGUAGUCCACACCGU